GGGUUGUGAGGUUAAGCGACUAAGCGUACACGGUGGAUGCCCUGGCAGUCAGAGGCGAUGAAGGACGUGCUAAUCUGCGAUAAGCGCCGGUAAGGUGAUAUGAACCGUUAUAACCGGCGAUUUCCGAAUGGGGAAACCCAGUGUGACUCGUCACACUAUCAUUAACUGAAUCCAUAGGUUAAUGAGGCGAACCGGGGGAACUGAAACAUCUAAGUACCCCGAGGAAAAGAAAUCAACCGAGAUUCCCCCAGUAGCGGCGAGCGAACGGGGAGGAGCCCAGAGCCUGAAUCAGCAUGUGUGUUAGUGGAAGCGUCUGGAAAGGCGCGCGAUACAGGGUGACAGCCCCGUACACAAAAGCGCAUGUGCUGUGAGCUCGAUGAGUAGGGCGGGACACGUGGUAUCCUGUCUGAAUAUGGGGGGACCAUCCUCCAAGGCUAAAUACUCCUGACUGACCGAUAGUGAACCAGUACCGUGAGGGAAAGGCGAAAAGAACCCCGGCGAGGGGAGUGAAAAAGAACCUGAAACCGUGUACGUACAAGCAGUGGGAGCCCCACCACUAAGCCAGUGGUGAACUCCACAUACGCAUCCUUUGCUGAGGAUACGGUUAACGGAGCGAAAGCGACGUUCAACCGCAAAAGAAGCAGAGGGGGCUUAGUGGUGGGGUGACUGCGUACCUUUUGUAUAAUGGGUCAGCGACUUAUAUUCUGUAGCAAGGUUAACCGAAUAGGGGAGCCGGAGGGAAACCGAGUCUUAAC
Molecule: ribosomal RNA, 755 nt
Filed under: Salmonella enterica
Lineage: Bacteria; Pseudomonadati; Pseudomonadota; Gammaproteobacteria; Enterobacterales; Enterobacteriaceae
Also listed under: 1 other name
Description: partial 23S ribosomal RNA
Rfam family: Bacterial large subunit ribosomal RNA
Source: RNAcentral